AUGGCUUUGUGUGAAGGGGCAAAGGCCUAGAUAUAUAAGGCUCUGUGUAGGCCCAGUGACCGUGAGAAAUGGGAUUUCACCGUAAGACCAUGAGAAAUCGUCCCAAACCGUGAGACUCACGUAUGGUCAAACCGUGAGAGUUGAGAGUUUGAAGAGGUCUAGGGAGCCGUCUACUAUACAAUCUCUUGUGGAUCGAUCGAGGUAUCGAGUGGGGCAGCUAGGUGGUGAGUAGCAAGAAGGGAAAGGAUAAGAGGAAGGUGCAGGAUCCUGCAGGAGCAUAAGUAUGAUGGACGCAAGUCUUGAUCAGUACGAGCAGCAACAUUCAAGGCACUAGAUGAUCUAGUGAACUGUACAUAUGUCUUAUAAUAGGGAACGUUCGUGAGGCUGCAUGCUAGUUGCAGUAAUGUAUCUAAUAUGCUAGAUUUAUCAUCUAGUCAAGUGUAACUAGACUAUUGCUGUUAGUGUUUGAGUGGCACAUAUAUAGAUUGCGUUAGACUGUCUGUCAUUAGAUGGACAUGAUUGUACAUACUCAUUAAAACCUUGUAUUAUUUCAGAAUAGUAAAUUGACAUCAUCAUUGAAUUAUCACAUACCGGUAGCAAUGCUGCCAUUACACAUACGGGACUCCAUCAAUAAAUGUAUUGAAUUUGACUCACUGUUAGUCAGUUAAUUCAUUAAUUAACCAAUUUGCAUUGCAAAUAGAUAUUUAAAAGCUUAACUCACAGAACUAACU
This is a long non-coding RNA of Corticium candelabrum, 731 nucleotides long. RefSeq lists it as uncharacterized. The transcript is spliced from 3 exons. The record is from RefSeq and is a predicted model, not a curated record. NCBI's taxonomy places the organism in Eukaryota, Metazoa, Porifera, Homoscleromorpha, Homosclerophorida, Plakinidae.